AUACAGGCACUCAAACUACAGCAGCGAGUGAGACUACAGCUACCACUGAUGAGCCUCUGACCUCUACGCCGAUCAGGCCACGGCCAGCUAAAAAGCCUUGGUUAGCUGUGGAGGAGGAAGACGAAGGGGAAGACUCCUCAGUGAUCCCGCCACCACUUGACUCCACAUAUGAGCCUGACUAAACAAUGACAGAUGUAUCGGAGUCCUCAAAGAUUCUGUAAGUGUUGAUGGUUUAUUUUUCCAUACAAAAACAAAAUGACAACUGACUACUUAAGAAAACUCAAAACAUCAUUUCUCCCAUCAUUUCUCUUCCACAGCGCCACCACCACACCUCACUACACGGAUGC
Molecule: non-coding RNA, 347 nt
Organism: Xyrichtys novacula (pearly razorfish)
Lineage: Eukaryota; Metazoa; Chordata; Actinopteri; Labriformes; Labridae
Source: the annotation of a GenBank genome assembly